Galleria mellonella (greater wax moth) is the source of this 1131-nucleotide long non-coding RNA. RefSeq lists it as uncharacterized. NCBI's taxonomy places the organism in Eukaryota, Metazoa, Arthropoda, Insecta, Lepidoptera, Pyralidae. The record is from RefSeq and is a predicted model, not a curated record. The transcript has 3 exons.
UCGAGCUGAGAGAUUUACUAUCUAGGUAAGACAGAAAAUAGGACCUAGUAGACAAUUUCACAAACAAACAAUGUUUGUAGCUACUAUUGCAACGCUCAUUAUAAGUCCAAAAGUGCACUCGUCUACACGGUAUUGGCACUGGGGAAAUUUUCCUCUUUAUUAAUAACAAAUCUUCGAGUUAUAGGGCUGGCUCGACGCUACUGAAUAUCUUUAAGCUUUGAUAUGAUGGAGUCUAUAAUUAUUCUACAGGGUAUUGGCACAUUUAUUGAAUAGUACGAGUAAAUAUGCCUAUCACUGUCCUAUACCAAACGAAAAUACCGAAAAUUUAAAUUAUAGAAGAAGGUCAAGGAAACUACUGUCAUCUUACGACCAUUCGCCUACGACGACAUUCUUAGAAAAAGAAGAGAUAAACCAUCGAUCCUACGCUAGAACCAGCACAGUCAUACCACAACUGCGUCGAUACGCUGGCGCCGUCUUACCUUCCAAGUACAUCCAUGAGGGCUGGUGCCGCCGCAACACACCAGGAAACCAUCAAACGCCGUAAAUAUUCAUCGCUUAGAAAUGAAUAUAUGUUUGCGGCGUUUUCAGUCAAGACUCUGGGCCCGUGGAGCCCCGAGGCUAUGAGUCUUUUUAAAGAGAUAUCACGCCGGCUGGUGGAAACUUUAGGCGAUUAGAAGAUUGCCCUAUACUUUUGUCAACGCAUUUCGAUAGCUAUUAAGCGUGGAAAUGCAGCAAGUCUCCUAGCUACCCUACCAGUUGGCAAUGACCUAAAUUUUUUUAUAUUUAAAUAAUAUUUUAAGGUCUUGUUAGUAUAAAGUUACUUUAAAUAUUUUAUAGUAAUUAUAAAUAAUUAAUUUCGCCGCGACUGGCGGCGGCGCUUUUUUAUUGUGAUCGAUAACAUUGUCAAGGCUAGACAAUGCUAGACAAGCCAGACACAGCGCGAUCUAGUUGGAUGGGUGACUGGUCACCAAAACAUUCGUGCACAUGCACUCCUAAUUUGGUAAAACACUAUUUAUUUAUUCAAUUUUAUUAUUUACAAGUUGCUGCAAAUUUGAAGAGAAAUUUAGGUACUUCUCUCCGAAUUUGCAGCAACUUGUAAAAUAGAUAUUUAUACUAUCACCGCAAUAAGAA